AUUGAACGCUGGCGGCAGGCUUAACACAUGCAAGUCGAGCGAGUGGCGGACGGGUGAGUAAUGUCUGGGAAUCUGCCUGAUGGAGGGGGAUAACUACUGGAAACUGUAGCUAAUACCGCAUACCAUCAGAUGUGCCCAGAUGGGAUUAGCUAGUUGGUGGGGUAAAGGCUCACCUAGGCGACGCUCCCUAGCUGGUCUGAGAGGAUGACCAGCCACACUGGAACUGAGACACGGUCCAGACUCCUACGGGAGGCAGCAGUGGGGAAUAUUGCGCAAUGGGCGCAAGCCUGAUGCAGCCAUGCCGCGUGAGUGAAGAAGGCCUUCGGGUUGUAAAGCACUUUCAGCGAGGAGGUGUUACUCGCAGAAGAAGCACCGGCUAACUCCGUGCCAGCAGCCGCGGUAAUUC
This 406-nucleotide ribosomal RNA is filed under the name uncultured bacterium. Its description in RNAcentral is "partial 16S ribosomal RNA". It matches the Rfam family "Bacterial small subunit ribosomal RNA", at positions 30 to 526 of the family's 1533-position model. The record is from RNAcentral.